RNAcentral lists this ribosomal RNA (445 nucleotides) under uncultured bacterium. RNAcentral's name for it is "bacterial SSU rRNA". It matches the Rfam family "Bacterial small subunit ribosomal RNA", at positions 354 to 796 of the family's 1533-position model. The record is from RNAcentral.
GUAAGGAAUAUUGGUCAAUGGGCGGAAGCCUGAACCAGCCAUGCCGCGUGCAGGAUGACUGCCCUAUGGGUUGUAAACUGCUUUUGUCCGGGAAUAAACCUAAAUACGUGUAUUUAGCUGAAUGUACCGGAAGAAUAAGGAUCGGCUAACUCCGUGCCAGCAGCCGCGGUAAUACGGAGGAUCCGAGCGUUAUCCGGAUUUAUUGGGUUUAAAGGGUGCGUAGGCGGCGCGUUAAGUCAGGGGUGAAAUACGGUGGCUCAACCAUCGCAGUGCCUUUGAUACUGACGUGCUUGAAUCCAUAUGAAGUGGGCGGAAUAAGACAAGUAGCGGUGAAAUGCAUAGAUAUGUCUUAGAACUCCGAUUGCGAAGGCAGCUCACUAAGCUGGUAUUGACGCUGAUGCACGAAAGCGUGGGGAUCGAACAGGAUUAGAUACCCUUGUAGUCC